CGUAGGUGGCAAGCGUUGUCCGGAUUUAUUGGGUUUAAAGGGUGCGUAGGCGGCUUUGUAAGUCAGUGGUGAAAUAUGGCAGCUCAACUGUCAGGGUGCCAUUGAUACUGCGGAGCUUGAGUACAGAUGAGGUAGGCGGAAUUGACGGUGUAGCGGUGAAAUGCUUAGAUAUCGUCAAGAACACCGAUAGCGAAGGCAGCUUACUGGGCUGUAACUGACGCUGAGGCACGAAAGUGUGGGGAUCAAACAGGAUUAGAUACCCUGGUAGUCCACACUGUAAACGUUGAUGACUCGCUGUUGGCGAUACACGGCCAGCGGCAGAGAGAAAUCGUUAAAGCAUCCACCUGGGGAGUACGCCGGCAAACGGUG
Molecule: ribosomal RNA, 369 nt
Filed under: uncultured organism
Description: bacterial SSU rRNA
Rfam family: Bacterial small subunit ribosomal RNA
Source: RNAcentral